Haliotis rubra (blacklip abalone) is the source of this 174-nucleotide long non-coding RNA. RefSeq lists it as uncharacterized. Lineage: Eukaryota; Metazoa; Mollusca; Gastropoda; Lepetellida; Haliotidae. The transcript is spliced from 2 exons. The record is from RefSeq and is a predicted model, not a curated record.
AGAUAUAAACUAUGCACAGUUGAGGACAAGAACUGGAACUCAGCUGAGGAAGCAGUUACGAAGCACGGUCUGCUUAUAUGCAUUUUACACAGACUGGCCAAGAAGUCUAUCUGCUUAUUGCAGCAGGGUUCUCAACAAGGAAAAUAUAGUCAGGAUGUCAAUCUGUGAGCAGAA